GAUGAAGAACGUAGCGAAAUGCGAUAAGUAGUGUGAAUUGCAGAAUUCCGUGAAUCAUCGAAUCUUUGAACGCACAUUGCGCCCCUUGGUAUUCCGAGGGGCAUGCCUGUUCGAGCGUCAUUAUAACCCCUCAAGCUCAGCUUGGUGUUGGGGCCUGCUGCACUGGCAGCCCUUAAAAUCAGUGGCGGCGCCAUCUGGCUCUAAGCGUAGUAAUUCUUCUCGCUAUGGAGUCCUGGUGGAUGCUUGCCAUCAACCCCCAAUUUUUCUAUGGUUGACCUCGGAUCAGGUAGGGAUACCCGCUGAACUUAAGCAUAUCAAUAAGCGGAGGA
RNAcentral lists this unclassified non-coding RNA (329 nucleotides) under soil metagenome. RNAcentral's name for it is "partial contains 5.8S ribosomal RNA, internal transcribed spacer 2, and large subunit ribosomal RNA". The stretch from base 1 to 120 matches the Rfam family "5.8S ribosomal RNA", at positions 35 to 154 of the family's 154-position model. The record is from RNAcentral.